AGAAUGAUGAAUAGCUUCUUCUGAAGAACGACUCACCUGCUUAACAAGGUUGCUGGCUUUGCUGUUGGUGUCGGCGUGGUAUCCUCGGUUGUAAAUGCCUCUAUGUACACCGUCCGCAUGGGUGAACGAGCAGUCAUCUUCCAUCCAUUUGGAGGUCGUACAGACAACACCAUCGUAGCUAGUCUUAAUCGAUUUUGAUUCUGUUUUUUAGGAGUUGUGGGAGACAUUUCAAUUUUCUAAGGAUUAGUCUUAAUCGACAUAAGAACAUGACGUAGCUAGUCCAUAAAAUCAAGAAAUGCAAACAAAAACAUAAAGGGUUCGGUAACAUGAUUAAGUUAUAGGUUACGGUGACAAUGAGAAUUUUGUAUCGACCUGAUGUCUUUGUUGUGGUAGAGAUGACGAGAAGAUUUUAGUAUUCGAUUACGGUGGCUGAAAGGACUCUGUUUUUAUGGAACAAUAGUCACAUCGAGAACCUAAUCAAACAGAACCUCAAAGUCAUUUUGCCGAUUAUAUUUCCUGCGCUGGAGAGAAAUUCAAGAAACCAUUGGAACCAGGCCGUACAAAACUUGACACAAAACGUCCGAAAGAUCUUCUUGGAUGCUGACCCUGAGCUGUUUGAGGAAUGUUUGCUCAAAUUUCAAGAAGAAGAGACACACGAGAAGGAUACGAAAUCUAAGCGCGAGGCUAAGUGGAAACGCUUAGAGGAGAUAGCUGCUGUGAAAUCUGCAAGUAAUGAAGCAGUUCUCGUCUCUCCCAAAGUAGCCUUACGAGCACCAUCUGGCUAGCUAGCUAACCACAGAACUUCAAAUGGGGGUGUUCAGCAGAUUUGGUUUUCCAAUUGGUAUGUGGGCAUAAAAGUUUAUCUAAUCACUCACCUCUCACCAUGUGAUGAAAGAAGCAGCCGCAGUUAAAUUGGUCGUCCCAUUAUGAACAAAUUGGAUUGAGGUGCAGUGAGAGAAAUUGAUAUUGGUGCUCAUAGCUGAGAUUUCUAUUUUGCAUACAUUUUCUGUGUAUAUGUGAUUGGGAGGGGGGGUUGGAUUCGGGUUGGAAAAUUUCUGUUUUAUUGUUGAAUGGGUGAAAAGCAAGAACGAAAUUCAAUUUUUUUCAUAAUUGUGCUCAUCAGUAUCUGGACGAUGGUCCCUUGUAGUUUACUGCUUCUGUAAUUCAAGUUAUUGGUUUCUUUUCUUCUGUCC
Cucurbita pepo subsp. pepo (vegetable marrow) is the source of this 1193-nucleotide long non-coding RNA. RefSeq lists it as uncharacterized. Lineage: Eukaryota; Viridiplantae; Streptophyta; Magnoliopsida; Cucurbitales; Cucurbitaceae. The record is from RefSeq and is a predicted model, not a curated record.